Long non-coding RNA from Ornithorhynchus anatinus (platypus), 629 nucleotides. RefSeq lists it as uncharacterized. Lineage: Eukaryota; Metazoa; Chordata; Mammalia; Monotremata; Ornithorhynchidae. The transcript is spliced from 3 exons. The record is from RefSeq and is a predicted model, not a curated record.
ACCUUUCUGAUGUCCUCCCUAUGUCCCUGCAAUUGCUCAUGGUGACUGCCAUGUCUUCAUCCGCAGGACACAUAUUUUGCUCGUUUCCGUUUGCAGAUUUCAUAUCUGCUGUCCUCCCUUGGCUUUCUUUGAUUACUUUUCCCAGUGUUUCAGGUCUCCGUCCCAAGCAUCGGGGAACCUGGGUUGGCGAACCCGAAGGUCUAGACAGGAUGGAGAAGAGACAGCAGAGAAGACCGGAUCAGCAAGCUGCUCCUAGACAAGCUGUUGGCUCACUUCAAGUCGGCAGCUGGUAUCAUCUCCACUGCACUCAAUACUGAAAGUGUCCCUGGAAUGGCCAGUGAGGAGAGACAGGAAACUUCAUGGGUGAAUGGAUCCCAGAAAUAUUCCUGCCAGGAUCCUGCAUGUCACUCUACAGGCCAGGACAGAGGAUCAUGCAUUUACUCUGCGGAUGACAUGGGAGGAUCAGUGGGUGUUGAAUGCUGCUGCAAUCGUCUCUGUUUAGGGCACCGGCUUCCUGUUGCACUCUCUCUGAAAUGGUGGUUAUUUGGUUCUUAACGGCAGAAAUGUCUUUUCCAGAGUGGUGGAGUGUGGCAGUGAGGGAGGCUGGAAAGUCGAAAAGUGAGAGGGUA